Phascolarctos cinereus (koala) is the source of this 180-nucleotide unclassified non-coding RNA. Lineage: Eukaryota; Metazoa; Chordata; Mammalia; Diprotodontia; Phascolarctidae. The record is from Ensembl.
UAAACAGCACUGAAGACUGAAGACCUUACUACAAAAAGGCUAAUUUUGAGCAAAUGGAAAACGUGGUAGAGUUCCCCCACUUUGAUUUUAUCCAAAGACCUUAGAAUUUGAGCUGAAAGGAUUACCUGUAAUGGUGGGAUGGUGUUUCAGUCUCUAUGGUAAACUUAAUCCUCAGCCUAU